This 502-nucleotide ribosomal RNA is filed under the name uncultured Comamonadaceae bacterium. RNAcentral describes it as "bacterial SSU rRNA". It matches the Rfam family "Bacterial small subunit ribosomal RNA", at positions 8 to 507 of the family's 1533-position model. Lineage: Bacteria; Pseudomonadati; Pseudomonadota; Betaproteobacteria; Burkholderiales; Comamonadaceae. The record is from RNAcentral.
AGAGUUUGAUCCUGGCUCAGAUUGAACGCUGGCGGAAUGCUUACACAUGCAAGUCGAACGGCAGCACGGGGGCAACCCUGGUGGCGAGUGGCGAACGGGUGAGUAAUACAUCGGAACGUGCCCAGUCUGGGGGAUAACGUAGCGAAAGCUACGCUAAUACCGCAUACGAACUGAGGUUGAAAGCGGGGGAUCGCAAGACCUCGCGCGAUUGGAGCGGCCGAUGGCAGAUUAGGUAGUUGGUGGGGUAAAGGCUCACCAAGCCGACGAUCUGUAGCUGGUCUGAGAGGACGACCAGCCACACUGGGACUGAGACACGGCCCAGACUCCUACGGGAGGCAGCAGUGGGGAAUUUUGGACAAUGGGCGCAAGCCUGAUCCAGCCAUUCCGCGUGCAGGAUGAAGGCCCUCGGGUUGUAAACUGCUUUUGUACGGAACGAAACGUCCCGGGUUAAUACCCUGGGGUAAUGACGGUACCGUAAGAAUAAGCACCGGCUAACUACGUG